CACGUCAGGACGUACAGAUGGACCUCAAACAUCAGCAGGGGGCUGGCUUGUGAGGAAAUACAAGAGACAGCCAAGCUUCCUGACCCCAACUGCCACCACGAGCCGCAAAGGAUUGUGAGACGAACAUCUUCAGGACCUGAAAGGAAACGCUAGAACUGGGGGGACCAUAUAAUGAUGAAAAAGAAGACGAUCCACAGCAGAGCGGUAUAGCAGUAUCUAACUUCUUGACUGGUCCAUUCUGAGUUUAUGAAAGCCGAAUGAAUCUACUUACCUUUCCCACAUCUGAUGGAGCAGGUUGAAGACACACGGAGCAUGGCAAGUAAUCGGGAAACUAAAAAGGAAUUUUUAAAAAUUAAAGAAGCUCCCCAGACAAGCAGAGAUGUCAGCAGAGAGCACUGUUGCCAGACAGAAAAGAACAACUCAACUUCAGCAGCCGAUAAUUAUUGGAAGGAUUAAGAUUUUUUAAUAGAAGUCAUAUUCAAAUCUGUUUAACUUUCUGGAGCCAGUUGAUAUAUAAAAAAAAGUUUUUUCCUGGUAUACCCCUUUAAAGAUUGAAAUGUUAAAACCAGUAGUACAUAAUGUAAUGAACCACAUUCUGCAAAUGAAUAACUGAGAAUUAUGAAUGAAUGAAGUAAAUAAAUAAAGUGAAAAUAUCUACAUUGACUAGAGAUUCAGAACUAAAAAGCAUGCAAAUGUAAGGGAAUAUUCAGUGGUAAUAAACAAGCAAUUCAUUAACCAUUAUUAAUGAACCUACCGUAUUUUUCGUCCUAUAGGACGCACCGGCGUAUAAGACGCACCCAAU
Molecule: long non-coding RNA, 802 nt
Organism: Hyla sarda
Lineage: Eukaryota; Metazoa; Chordata; Amphibia; Anura; Hylidae
Exons: 3
Source: RefSeq, a predicted model, not a curated record